GUGCUCUCUUCGGCGGCACAUACACUGAAAUUGGAGUGAGACCGAGGUUAGCAUGGUUCUUGCCCGUGGAUGACAUGCAAACCCAUGAAGCAUUCCAUAUUUUA
Small nuclear RNA from Peromyscus eremicus (cactus mouse), 104 nucleotides. The record is from RefSeq and is a predicted model, not a curated record. Lineage: Eukaryota; Metazoa; Chordata; Mammalia; Rodentia; Cricetidae.